GAUGAAGAACGUAGCGAAAUGCGAUAAGUAAUGUGAAUUGCAGAAUUCAGUGAAUCAUCGAAUCUUUGAACGCACCUUGCGCCCUUUGGCCAUUCCGAAGGGCAUGCCUGUUUGAGUAUCAUGAACACCUCAACUCUUCAUGGUUUUCCGUGAUGAGCUUGGACUUUGGGGGUCUUGCUGGCCUAUGGUCAGCUCCUCUAAAAUUAAUCAGCUUGCCAGUGUUUGGUGGCAUCACAGGUGUGAUAACUAUCUACGCUUGUGGUUUUCCAUCAGGUAACCUUCAGUGAUGGAGGUUCGCUGGGGCUCAUAAAUGUCUCUCCUCAGUGAGGACAGCUUUUUUGAACGUUUGAUCUCAAAUCAGGUAGGACUACCCGCUGAACUUAAGCAUAUCAAUAAGCGGAGGA
Molecule: unclassified non-coding RNA, 404 nt
Filed under: soil metagenome
Description: partial contains 5.8S ribosomal RNA, internal transcribed spacer 2, and large subunit ribosomal RNA
Rfam family: 5.8S ribosomal RNA (bases 1-121)
Source: RNAcentral